Molecule: ribosomal RNA, 433 nt
Filed under: uncultured bacterium
Lineage: Bacteria
Description: partial 16S ribosomal RNA
Rfam family: Bacterial small subunit ribosomal RNA
Source: RNAcentral
AACGAACGCUGGCGGCAUGCCUAACACAUGCAAGUCGAACGAGACCUUCGGGUCUAGUGGCGCACGGGUGCGUAACGCGUGGGAACCUGCCCUUAGGUUCGGAAUAACUCCCCGACAGGGGUGCUAAUACCGGAUAAUGUCUUCGGACCAACGAUUUAUCGCCUUUGGAUGGGCCCGCGUUGGAUUAGCUAGUUGGUAGGGUAAAAGCCUACCAAGGCGACGAUCCAUAGCUGGUCUGAGAGGAUGAUCAGCCACACUGGGACUGAGACACGGCCCAGACUCCUACGGGAGGCAGCGGUGGGGAAUAUUGGACAAUGGGCGAAAGCCUGAGCCAGCACUGCCGCGUGAGUGAUGAAGGCCUUAGGGUUGUAAAGCUCUUUUACCCGGGAUGAUAAUGACAGUACCGGGAGAAUAAGCUCCGGCUAACUCCGUG